GUCAGGUUGGCCGAGUGGUCUAAGGCGCCAGAUUUAAGCUCUGGUUCCCAGUGGGAGCGUGGGUUCGAACCCCACACCUGACA
RNAcentral lists this transfer RNA (83 nucleotides) under Macrosteles quadrilineatus (aster leafhopper). RNAcentral describes it as "transfer RNA leucine (anticodon UAA)". It matches the Rfam family "tRNA". From Rfam's summary of the family: Transfer RNA (tRNA) molecules are approximately 80 nucleotides in length. Their secondary structure includes four short double-helical elements and three loops (D, anti-codon, and T loops). Further hydrogen bonds mediate the characteristic L-shaped molecular structure. tRNAs have two regions of fundamental functional importance: the anti-codon, which is responsible for specific mRNA codon recognition, and the 3' end, to which the tRNAs corresponding amino acid is attached (by aminoacyl-tRNA synthetases). tRNAs cope with the degeneracy of the genetic code in two manners: having more than one tRNA (with a specific anti-codon) for a particular amino acid; and 'wobble' base-pairing, i.e. permitting non-standard base-pairing at the 3rd anti-codon position. Lineage: Eukaryota; Metazoa; Arthropoda; Insecta; Hemiptera; Cicadellidae. RNAcentral also lists the same sequence under 1 other name. The record is from RNAcentral.